GACGAACGCUGGCGGCGUGCUUAACACAUGCAAGUCGAACGGAAAGGCCCUGCUUUUGUGGGGUGCUCGAGUGGCGAACGGGUGAGUAACACGUGAGUAACCUGCCCUUGACUUUGGGAUAACUUCAGGAAACUGGGGCUAAUACCGGAUAGGAGCUCCUGCUGCAUGGUGGGGGUUGGAAAGUUUCGGCGGUUGGGGAUGGACUCGCGGCUUAUCAGCUUGUUGGUGGGGUAGUGGCUUACCAAGGCUUUGACGGGUAGCCGGCCUGAGAGGGUGACCGGCCACAUUGGGACUGAGAUACGGCCCAGACUCCUACGGGAGGCAGCAGUGGAAUAUUGCACAAUGGGCGGAAGCCUGAUGCAGCAACGCCGCGUGCGGGAUGACGGCCUUCGGGUUGUAAACCGCUUUCGCCUGUGACGAAGCGUGAGUGACGGUAAUGGGUAAAGAAGCACCGGCUAACUACGUG
RNAcentral lists this ribosomal RNA (466 nucleotides) under uncultured bacterium. RNAcentral describes it as "partial 16S ribosomal RNA". It matches the Rfam family "Bacterial small subunit ribosomal RNA", at positions 28 to 507 of the family's 1533-position model. The record is from RNAcentral.